UGUAGUCAUAUGCUUGUCUCAAAGAUUAAGCCAUGCAUGUCUAAGUAUAAGCAAUUAUACAGCGAAACUGCGAAUGGCUCAUUAAAUCAGUUAUCGUUUAUUUGAUAGUACCUUACUACAUGGAUAACCGUGGUAAUUCUAGAGCUAAUACAUGCUAAAAACCCCGACUUCGGAAGGGGUGUAUUUAUUAGAUUAAAAACCAAUGCCCUUCGGGGCUCCCUGGUGAUUCAUAAUAACUUCUCGAAUCGCACGGCCUUGCGCCGGCGAUGGUUCAUUCAAAUUUCUGCCCUAUCAACUUUCGACGGCAGGGUCUUGGCCUGCCAUGGUGACAACGGGUAACGGAGGGUUAGGGCUCGACCCCGGAGAAGGAGCCUGAGAAACGGCUACUACAUCCAAGGAAGGCAGCAGGCGCGCUAAUUACCCAAUCCCGACUCGGGGAGGUAGUGACAAUAAAUACUGAUACAGGGCUCUUUUGGGUCUUGUAAUUGGAAUGAGUACAAUUUAAAUCCCUUAACGAGGAACAAUUGGAGGGCAAGUCUGGUAAUCG
This 547-nucleotide ribosomal RNA is filed under the name uncultured eukaryote. RNAcentral describes it as "SSU rRNA". It matches the Rfam family "Eukaryotic small subunit ribosomal RNA", at positions 21 to 570 of the family's 1831-position model. The record is from RNAcentral.